GCUCAGAUUGAACGCUGGCGGCAGGCCUAACACAUGCAAGUCGAGCGGUAGAGAGGUGCUUGCACCUCUUGAGAGCGGCGGACGGGUGAGUAAUGCCUAGGAAUCUGCCUGGUAGUGGGGGAUAACGCUCGGAAACGGACGCUAAUACCGCAUACGUCCUACGGGAGAAAGCAGGGGACCUUCGGGCCUUGCGCUAUCAGAUGAGCCUAGGUCGGAUUAGCUAGUUGGUGGGGUAAUGGCUCACCAAGGCGACGAUCCGUAACUGGUCUGAGAGGAUGAUCAGUCACACUGGAACUGAGACACGGUCCAGACUCCUACGGGAGGCAGCAGUGGGGAAUAUUGGACAAUGGGCGAAAGCCUGAUCCAGCCAUGCCGCGUGUGUGAAGAAGGUCUUCGGAUUGUAAAGCACUUUAAGUUGGGAGGAAGGGCAUUAACCUAAUACGUUAGUGUUUUGACGUUACCGACAGAAUAAGCACCGGCUAACUCUGUGCCAGCAGCCGCGGUAAUACAGAGGGUGCAAGCGUUAAUCGGAAUUACUGGGCGUAAAGCGCGCGUAGGUGGUUCGUUAAGUUGGAUGUGAAAGCCCCGGGCUCAACCUGGGAACUGCAUUCAAAACUGUCGAGCUAGAGUAUGGUAGAGGGUGGUGGAAUUUCCUGUGUAGCGGUGAAAUGCGUAGAUAUAGGAAGGAACACCAGUGGCGAAGGCGACCACCUGGAC
RNAcentral lists this ribosomal RNA (717 nucleotides) under Pseudomonas brassicacearum subsp. brassicacearum. RNAcentral's name for it is "bacterial SSU rRNA". It matches the Rfam family "Bacterial small subunit ribosomal RNA", at positions 22 to 734 of the family's 1533-position model. The record is from RNAcentral. Lineage: Bacteria; Pseudomonadati; Pseudomonadota; Gammaproteobacteria; Pseudomonadales; Pseudomonadaceae.